CGCGUAGGCGGGCCCGCAAGUCGAUCGUGAAAUCCUUCGGCUCAACUGAAGGGGGUCGGUCGAUACUGCGGGUCUUGAGGGAUGCAGAGGAGACUGGAAUUCCCGGUGUAGCGGUGAAAUGUGUAGAGAUCGGGAGGAACACCGGUGGCGAAGGCGGGUCUCUGGGCAUCUCCUGACGCUGAGGCGCGAAAGCGUGGGGAGCAAACG
RNAcentral lists this ribosomal RNA (207 nucleotides) under uncultured bacterium. RNAcentral's name for it is "partial 16S ribosomal RNA". It matches the Rfam family "Bacterial small subunit ribosomal RNA", at positions 568 to 774 of the family's 1533-position model. The record is from RNAcentral.